RNAcentral lists this transfer RNA (71 nucleotides) under Marmota monax (woodchuck). RNAcentral's name for it is "tRNA.Ala". Lineage: Eukaryota; Metazoa; Chordata; Mammalia; Rodentia; Sciuridae. The record is from RNAcentral.
GAGGUUGUAGCUCAGUGGCAGAGUGCUCACUGAGCAUGUGAGAGGCACUGGGUUCGAUCCUCAGCACCACA